UGUGACCUCAAAUCAGGUAGGACUACCCGCUGAACUUAAGCAUAUCAAUAAGCGGAGGAAAAGAAACUAACAAGGAUUCCCCUAGUAACUGCGAGUGAAGCGGGUAAAGCUCAAAUUUAAAAUCUGGCGGUCUUUUGGCUGUCCGAGUUGUAAUCUAGAGAA
Molecule: ribosomal RNA, 162 nt
Filed under: uncultured Cortinarius
Lineage: Eukaryota; Fungi; Basidiomycota; Agaricomycetes; Agaricales; Cortinariaceae
Description: partial 28S ribosomal RNA
Rfam family: Eukaryotic large subunit ribosomal RNA
Source: RNAcentral